Molecule: long non-coding RNA, 794 nt
Filed under: Falco tinnunculus (common kestrel)
Lineage: Eukaryota; Metazoa; Chordata; Aves; Falconiformes; Falconidae
Description: lncRNA (ENSFTIG00000010656.1)
Source: RNAcentral
AUGACCUUUCCAAGCUCUUGUGGGCUGGUGCUGUUGGAGUGGAGCUUCUACAGCUUGGGAAGCUCGGAAAAAGAAAGGGAAAAACCAAACAAAAAGACCAAAGCGGCAUUCACCCUCCUCGAGUGCGUGCGUCUGUCUGUGGGCAUCACAGCCCUCUUGGAGCAAGGUGGGCAGCAGCAGCUCCAGAGCAAACACCCUCCAGGGGUGGCAGCGUGGAGUCGUGUGAUUGUGCUCUGCGCUUCUAAGGAGCAAUACUGCGCUUUGCAAUCAAUGGAGCUUAAAAAUACAAUGGCCAGCCUUAUCAACGACACUGAAAAUCAAAAGGAUAUUUUCUGCCCCCCCAGCCACUUGCCCACAUGCCCCGGGAGCACCUCGGCUGCCUGAGCCUGCUGCUGCCUGCGCUAGUAAGUACCAAGCAUUCACACAUGCCUUCCCAUGGCCAAACGCACCGCUUUAAGGCAAAAUACACUUAAAUUUAUGGUCCAGAUCUCCACAAUAUCUUGCCAUUAAUGGGAAUGAAACUAUAUUUAGAAAUCCUAGUUACUAGGCCACUUGAAGGCAUGACAUAAAAUACAUUACAGUAAAUGAAUUCUCUUCAGUCUCAUUUUUAGGAUUUUACUAAUGAAAUUCUGAUUUUUAGGUUGCUAAAGCUGGGCACCUCAAAUCCAUUAAAAUCACGUGCAGGAGAGACAUUUGAGGCACAAAUAUUGUUACAUUAAUGGGCUACAUUAAUUUUGAUGGAGCUGUGCUAUUUCACCCAGAUAAGAACCAGCACAUUUAUUAUAAUUAUUUUU